GAUGAACGCUGGCGGCGUGCCUAAUACAUGCAAGUCGAGCGAAGAGACGAGGAGCUCGCUCCGCUGACGUUAGCGGCGGACGGGUGAGUAACAAGUAAAUAACCUAUCUAUAAGACUGGGGUAACUUAGGGAAACCGUAGCAAAUACCGGGUAAUAUCACGAACCGGAGGGUGCUGUAGUGAAAGAUGGGUUUGCGAUCGCCUCUAGGCCGAUCCGCGCCGUAUUAGCUAGAUGGUAAGGCAAUGGCCUAACAAGGCAACGAUCCGAAGCCGACCUGGGCGACUGAUCGCCCACCCUGGAGCUUGACCGCGGUCCAGGCGCCUGCGGGAGGCAGCAGUCUGCAAUCUUACGCAGUGGGCGAGAGCCUUACGGAGCAGCGCCGCGUGAGAGAUGGAGGUCCUGCGAUCGUGAAGCUCUGUUAUUAGUGAAAAACAACUGUGUAAGUAACUAUGCACGUCUUGACGGUACCUACUCAGAAAGCCCCGGCUAACUACGUG
RNAcentral lists this ribosomal RNA (497 nucleotides) under uncultured bacterium. RNAcentral's name for it is "partial 16S ribosomal RNA". It matches the Rfam family "Bacterial small subunit ribosomal RNA", at positions 28 to 507 of the family's 1533-position model. The record is from RNAcentral.